Molecule: ribosomal RNA, 253 nt
Filed under: uncultured bacterium
Lineage: Bacteria
Description: partial 16S ribosomal RNA
Rfam family: Bacterial small subunit ribosomal RNA
Source: RNAcentral
UACGAAGGGUGCAAGCGUUAAUCGGAAUUACUGGGCGUAAAGCGUGCGUAGGUGGUUUGUUAAGUCUGCUGUGAAAGCCCUGGGCUCAACCUGGGAAUGGCGGUGGAUACUGACGAGCUAGAGUGCGGUAGAGGAGGGUGGAAUUCCCGGUGUAGCGGUGAAAUGCGUAGAGAUCGGGAGGAACAUCAGUGGCGAAGGCGGCCCUCUGGACCAGCACUGACGCUGAGGCACGAAAGCGUGGGGAGCAAACAGG